AAUUGCAUGGCUUAGUGGUUUGAGCACUGGACUAUGACUCUGGAGACCAAGGUUCAGUUCCUGCUUGAUCA
Phrynosoma platyrhinos (Desert horned lizard) is the source of this 71-nucleotide non-coding RNA. The record is from the annotation of a GenBank genome assembly. NCBI's taxonomy places the organism in Eukaryota, Metazoa, Chordata, Lepidosauria, Squamata, Phrynosomatidae.